UGGCUCGCUGCCCAGGAAGUGAGUUACUUUCACUUUCAUUCCUCAGCAGACAGCCAGCCUCUCCUCCCCCCACCUAUCCCCCAGCACCUCACCCAACCCAGCCCUGACAGAGGGGAGGGAGGAGAGAGAGAGGGGUGCUCCUGGGGAGGAGGGAGAAAGGAGGGGGUGCUUGCUCUGUGGGGCAGAAGAAUGGAUGUUAUGGGAGACAACAAAGGAUACUGGUUCCAGAGCCACAGCCUCACCUGACCUCAGCAAGGGGGAAAGAGUCACAUUCAGAGGUGACCAUGGAUGAUAUCGCUCUCCUGAGGAUAGCACAGAGAGAUAAAGAAUGGAUGUUGCUUGAA
Gopherus flavomarginatus (Mexican gopher tortoise) is the source of this 344-nucleotide long non-coding RNA. RefSeq lists it as uncharacterized. The record is from RefSeq and is a predicted model, not a curated record. The transcript is spliced from 2 exons. Lineage: Eukaryota; Metazoa; Chordata; Testudines; Testudinidae.